This 83-nucleotide transfer RNA is filed under the name Lentisphaerota bacterium. RNAcentral describes it as "Lentisphaerae bacterium (aquatic metagenome) tRNA-Leu". It matches the Rfam family "tRNA". From Rfam's summary of the family: Transfer RNA (tRNA) molecules are approximately 80 nucleotides in length. Their secondary structure includes four short double-helical elements and three loops (D, anti-codon, and T loops). Further hydrogen bonds mediate the characteristic L-shaped molecular structure. tRNAs have two regions of fundamental functional importance: the anti-codon, which is responsible for specific mRNA codon recognition, and the 3' end, to which the tRNAs corresponding amino acid is attached (by aminoacyl-tRNA synthetases). tRNAs cope with the degeneracy of the genetic code in two manners: having more than one tRNA (with a specific anti-codon) for a particular amino acid; and 'wobble' base-pairing, i.e. permitting non-standard base-pairing at the 3rd anti-codon position. Lineage: Bacteria; Pseudomonadati; Lentisphaerota. RNAcentral also lists the same sequence under 2 other names. The record is from RNAcentral.
GCCGGGGUGGCGAAAUGGCAGACGCACUGGACUCAAAAUCCAGCGGUGGCAACACCGUGAGGGUUCGACUCCCUCCCCCGGCA